UCUCCUAGACACCCUAUCUUGUAUCUAUUAUAUCUCCAUGAUCCAAAGGUCUUUCUCUCUAAUUUUUGGAUGCCCCAAAGAUCUCUCAAAUCUCUAUAUUUUAUAAAAAUUUCAUAUAGAAACUCAUUUAUAAAAAGAGAUAUGAUAGAGUCCUUGUUUAGGUCAAAUACCUAGUCAAGGCUUAUCCAAACAUGGCAAGAUAAGGGGUGCCCAACUCUUGGGCGCCUCCUCCUUAUUUU
Molecule: long non-coding RNA, 239 nt
Filed under: Elaeis guineensis (African oil palm)
Lineage: Eukaryota; Viridiplantae; Streptophyta; Magnoliopsida; Arecales; Arecaceae
Description: long non-coding RNA (EGUI_LNC072997)
Source: RNAcentral